CUACAACACUGGAGAGGACAGGAGACUUUAAUAAGCAAUAUAGAGAAGACUGAAAUUCUAAUCAAAGCCAUACUUCUGUCCACCAUCAUCACAGGACUCAGCUAUAAGAAAACCUCAAAAGUGUUUCUAGCAAUAGUAGCACUGGAAGGACACUGCCACAUCACCUUUCAUGACUCCUAAAAACACAUCCACCUUGUCUUUUUUACUCCAUAAAUUUCCUGCAAAUGCCAAACAGUAGGUACUCGCUAAAUAUUACUAAUAAAUCUGAUUUCUCACCAAACUGUA
Long non-coding RNA from Canis lupus familiaris (dog), 285 nucleotides. RefSeq lists it as uncharacterized. Lineage: Eukaryota; Metazoa; Chordata; Mammalia; Carnivora; Canidae. The record is from RefSeq and is a predicted model, not a curated record. The transcript has 3 exons.